AAGGAAUAAAAAGGAAUAUCGAAAAUUCGAGUGGCUGAAGCUGAAGCAGCUACUUUCGGAGUAACAGAAAGAAAAGCAACGAUUGGAGUGGGAGAGUCAGAAACUUUUUAUAUAGAAUCAA
Non-coding RNA from Arachis ipaensis, 121 nucleotides. The record is from RefSeq and is a predicted model, not a curated record. NCBI's taxonomy places the organism in Eukaryota, Viridiplantae, Streptophyta, Magnoliopsida, Fabales, Fabaceae.